Molecule: transfer RNA, 72 nt
Filed under: Deltaproteobacteria bacterium
Lineage: Bacteria; Pseudomonadati; Myxococcota; Myxococcia
Description: tRNA-Pro
Rfam family: tRNA
About the family: Transfer RNA (tRNA) molecules are approximately 80 nucleotides in length.
Source: RNAcentral
CUGGGUGUAGUUCAGUAGCAGAACGCGUGUUUCGGGAACACGAAGUCGCUGGUGCGAUUCCAGCUACCCAGA